CACUCCUGCGGGAGGCAGCAGUGGGGAAUAUUGGACAAUGGGCGCAAGCCUGAUCCAGCCAUGCCGCGUGAGUGAUGAAGGCCCUAGGGUUGUAAAGCUCUUUCACCGGUGAAGAUAAUGACGGUAACCGGAGAAGAAGCCCCGGCUAACUUCGUGCCAGCAGCCGCGGUAAUACGAAGGGGGCUAGCGUUGUUCGGAUUUACUGGGCGUAAAGCGCACGUAGGCGGACUAUUAAGUCAGGGGUGAAAUCCCGGGGCUCAACCCCGGGACUGCCUUUGAUACUGGUAGUCUUGAGUUCGAGAGAGGUGAGUGGAAUUCCGAGUGUAGAGGUGAAAUUCGUAGAUAUUCGGAGGAACACCAGUGGCGAAGGCGGCUCACUGGCUCGAUACUGACGCUGAGGUGCGAAAGCGUGGGGAGCAAACAGGAUUAGAAACCCUUGUAGUCCCAUGAU
This 451-nucleotide ribosomal RNA is filed under the name uncultured organism. Its description in RNAcentral is "partial 16S ribosomal RNA". It matches the Rfam family "Bacterial small subunit ribosomal RNA", at positions 334 to 801 of the family's 1533-position model. The record is from RNAcentral.